CCUACGGGUGGCAGCAGUGAGGAAUAUUGGUCAAUGGACGAGAGUCUGAACCAGCCAAGUAGCGUGAAGGAUGACUGCCCUAUGGGUUGUAAACUUCUUUUAUAUGGGAAUAAAAUGUUCCACGUGUGGGAUUUUGUAUGUACCAUCUGAAUAAGGAUCGGCUAACUCCGUGCCAGCAGCCGCGGUAAUACGGAGGAUCCGAGCGUUAUCCGGAUUUAUUGGGUUUAAAGGGAGCGUAGGUGGAUUGUUAAGUCAGUUGUGAAAGUUUGCGGCUCAACCGUAAAAUUGUAGUUGAAACUGGCAGUCUUGAGUACAGUAGAGGUGGGCGGAAUUCGUGGUGUAGCGGUGAAAUGCUUAGAUAUCACGAAGAACUCCGAUUGCGAAGGCAGUUCACUGGACUGCAACUGACACUGAGGCUCGAAAGUGUGGGUAUCAAACAGGAUUAGAUACCCGUGUAGUC
RNAcentral lists this ribosomal RNA (460 nucleotides) under uncultured bacterium. RNAcentral describes it as "partial 16S ribosomal RNA". It matches the Rfam family "Bacterial small subunit ribosomal RNA", at positions 338 to 795 of the family's 1533-position model. The record is from RNAcentral.